UACGGUGGGGGGCAGGUGUCAUUCAUAGGGGACUGGGCGUUAAAGGGUUCGUAUGGUGUUCUUUCGGACAAUACUAUUGGAGCUAGUUUUCAUUUUACUAUGUGUUUUAGGGUAUUUGAUCCAAAGAAUAGAGUAUAGCAUAAGAUUUGGGUACUCUUCAAUGGAGAGGUGAAAUUCGGAGAUAUUCGGAAGAACACCAGUGGCGAAGGCGGCUCACUGGACUGGUAUUGACGCUGAGGUGCGAAAGCGUGGGGAGCAAACGGG
This 264-nucleotide ribosomal RNA is filed under the name uncultured bacterium. RNAcentral describes it as "partial 16S ribosomal RNA". The stretch from base 32 to 264 matches the Rfam family "Bacterial small subunit ribosomal RNA", at positions 553 to 776 of the family's 1533-position model. The record is from RNAcentral.